Molecule: ribosomal RNA, 497 nt
Filed under: uncultured bacterium
Lineage: Bacteria
Description: partial 16S ribosomal RNA
Rfam family: Bacterial small subunit ribosomal RNA
Source: RNAcentral
GAUGAACGCUGGCGGCGUGCCUAAUACAUGCAAGUCGAGCGAACAGACGAGGAGCUUGCUCCUCUGACGUUAGCGGCGGACGGGUGAGUAACACGUGUAUAACCUACCUAUAAGACUGGGAUAACUUCGGGAAACCGGAGCUAAUACCGUAUAAUAUAUUGAACCACAUGGUUCAAUAGUGAAAGACGGUUUUGCUGUCACUUCUCGAUGGAUCCCCGCCGCAUUAGCUAGUUGUUAAGGUAACGGCUUACCAAGGCAACGAUGCGUAGCCGAACUGAGAGGGUGAUAGGCGACACUGGAACUGAGACACGGUCAAGACUCCUAAGGGAGGCAGCAGUAGGGAAUCGGACGCAAUGGGCGAAAGCCUGACGGAGCAAGGGCGCGUGAGUGAUGAAGGUCUUGGGAGCGUAAAAAUCUGUUAUGAGGGAAGAACAAAUGUGUAAGUAAAUAUGCACGUAUUGACGGUACCUAAUCAGAAAGCCACGGCUAACUACGUG